AGUGAACGCUGGCGGUAGGCCUAACACAUGCAAGUCGAACGGCAGCACAGUAAGAGCUUGCUCUUACGGGUGGCGAGUGGCGGACGGGUGAGGAAUACAUCGGAAUCUACUUUUUCGUGGGGGAUAACGUAGGGAAACUUACGCUAAUACCGCAUACGACCUACAGGUGAAAGCAGGGGAUCUUCGGACCUUGCGCGAUUGAAUGAGCCGAUGUCGGAUUAGCUAGUUGGCGGGGUAAAGGCCCACCAAGGCGACGAUCCGUAGCUGGUCUGAGAGGAUGAUCAGCCACACUGGAACUGAGACACGGUCCAGACUCCUACGGGAGGCAGCAGUGGGAAAUAUUGGACAAUGGGCGCAAGCCUGAUCCAGCCAUACCGCGUGGGUGAAGAGGGCCUUCGGGUUGUAAAGCCCUUUUGUUGGGAAAGAAAAGCAGCAGGUUAAUACCCCGCUGUUCUGACGGUACCCAAAGAAUAAGCACCGGCUAACUUCGUG
RNAcentral lists this ribosomal RNA (492 nucleotides) under uncultured bacterium. Its description in RNAcentral is "partial 16S ribosomal RNA". It matches the Rfam family "Bacterial small subunit ribosomal RNA", at positions 29 to 507 of the family's 1533-position model. The record is from RNAcentral.